This 407-nucleotide ribosomal RNA is filed under the name uncultured bacterium. RNAcentral describes it as "partial 16S ribosomal RNA". It matches the Rfam family "Bacterial small subunit ribosomal RNA", at positions 29 to 526 of the family's 1533-position model. The record is from RNAcentral.
AUUGAACGCUGGCGGCAGGCCUAACACAUGCAAGUCGAGCGGAGCGAGGGACGGGUGAGUAAUGCAUAGGUAUCUGCCUGGUCGUGGGGGAUAGCGUACGGAACGGGGUGCUAAUACCGCAUACUAUCAGAUGAGCCUAGGUCGGUUUAGCGAGUUGGUGGGGGAAAGGCCUACCAAGGCGACGAUCCGUAACUGGUCUGAGAGGAUGACCAGCCACACUGGAACUGAGACACGGGCCAGACUCCUACGGGAGGCAGCAGUGGGGAAUAUUGCACAAUGGGCGCAAGCCUGAUGCAGCCAUGCCGCGGGUAUGAAGAAGGCCUUAGGGUUGUAAAGUACUUUCAGCGGGGAGGCGUUACCCGCAGAAGAAGCACCGGCUAACUCCGUGCCAGCAGCCGCGGUAAUUC